Molecule: ribosomal RNA, 918 nt
Filed under: Triticum aestivum (bread wheat)
Lineage: Eukaryota; Viridiplantae; Streptophyta; Magnoliopsida; Poales; Poaceae
Description: partial small subunit ribosomal RNA
Source: RNAcentral
AUGCAGACCACCGUGGAGGACCUGCCCGCCGACGUGCUGGCCUGCGCGCUGCGCCGCCUCGACGGCCCGUCCCUGGCCGCCGCGAGCUGCGCCACGGCAGGCCUCCGCGCCCUCGCCGCGGAGCCGGAGACGUGGCGCGCGCUCUGCGUCGCACGGUGGCCGUCGCUGCUGCAGACCCAGCGGCGCGACAUCCUCGGCUCCGCGGCCGUCUCUCCGCAGCGCCUCUUCGCCGACGCCUUCCCCUUCCCGUCCAGUUCCACGGAUGCUGCUUCCGUCACCGCGGCCGAUCAAUGUCUCCCCGUCGAGCUCAUCUCCGCCGUGGACGUGUACCACAAGGGAGCGCCCCUCUUCUCCCGGGUCGUGGAGACCUCCACGUCGUCCUCGUGGUUCCUGACCUCGCCGUUCCGCGUGGACGCCGUCGAGUGCAAGGACCCGGUGCCGGCGGCCUCGUUCUCUCCGUCGGAUUUGGAGCUCAGCUGGAUCGUCGUGGACCCCCGAAGCGGCCGGGCGGUGAACGUGUCGAGCCGGCGGGCGGUGGCCGUGGAUAGACACUGGUACACCGGCGAGACGUUGGUGCGGUUCGCGGUGGUGCUCGGCGGGAGCAAGUUCGAGGCCACAGUCACCUGCUCGGAGGAGGCCGGGUACCUUAGGGAGGUCAGCCUCACCGUCGAGGACGCCGAAAACGCGGCGGUGAGCGGCGAAGGCAGCCUGCGGCUUCUUGCAGCCGCAAUGGAAGGACCGAGGAAAGGAGGGGAGAAGGAAAGAGAAGAGGCCAAGAGGAGGUACGAGGAGUUCGUAAGGAGCAAGAGGGGGAGGAAGGAGUCCAAGGCAAGGCGGGAGGUGCUCGUCGACUUGUGCUGCUCCGCCGUCGGCGCCGUCGCCGUGCUCAGCUUCCUCGCCUCCGUUGUGCUACGGUAG